GACGAACGCUGGCGGCGUGCUUAACACAUGCAAGUCGAACGGUAAGGCCCUUCGGGGUACACGAGUGGCGAACGGGUGAGUAACACGUGGGUGAUCUGCCCUGCACUUCGGGAUAAGCCUGGGAAACUGGGUCUAAUACCGGAUAGGACCACUGCCUGCAUGGGUGGUGGUGGAAAGCUUUUGCGGUGUGGGAUGGGCCCGCGGCCUAUCAGCUUGUUGGUGGGGUGAUGGCCUACCAAGGCGACGACGGGUAGCCGGCCUGAGAGGGUGACCGUCCACACUGGGACUGAGAUACGGCCCAGACUCCUACGGGAGGCAGCAGUGGGGAAUAUUGCACAAUGGGCGCAAGCCUGAUGCAGCGACGCCGCGUGAGGGAUGACGUCCUUCGGGUUGUAAACCUCUUUCAGCACCGACGAAGCGCAAGUGACGGUAGGUGCAGAAGAAGGACCGGCCAACUACGUGCCAGCCGCCGCAGUAG
RNAcentral lists this ribosomal RNA (478 nucleotides) under uncultured bacterium. RNAcentral describes it as "partial 16S ribosomal RNA". It matches the Rfam family "Bacterial small subunit ribosomal RNA", at positions 28 to 523 of the family's 1533-position model. The record is from RNAcentral.